This 229-nucleotide ribosomal RNA is filed under the name uncultured bacterium. Its description in RNAcentral is "partial 16S ribosomal RNA". It matches the Rfam family "Bacterial small subunit ribosomal RNA", at positions 568 to 796 of the family's 1533-position model. The record is from RNAcentral.
UCCGUAGGUGGAUAAUUAAGUCCGAGGUGAAAUCCUGCAGCUCAACUGUAGAAUUGCCUUUGAUACUGGUUAUCUUGAGUCAUUAUGAAGUGGUUAGAAUGUGUAGUGUAGCGGUGAAAUGCAUAGAUAUUACACAGAAUACCGAUUGCGAAGGCAGAUCACUAAUAAUGUACUGACACUGAGGGACGAAAGCGUGGGGAGCGAACAGGAUUAGAUACCCUGGUAGUCC